This 253-nucleotide ribosomal RNA is filed under the name uncultured bacterium. RNAcentral's name for it is "partial 16S ribosomal RNA". It matches the Rfam family "Bacterial small subunit ribosomal RNA", at positions 524 to 776 of the family's 1533-position model. The record is from RNAcentral.
UACGGAGGGUGCGAGCGUUAAUCGGAAUGACUGGGCGUAAAGGGUGCGUAGGCGGCGAGAUCAGUCAGUCGUGAAAUCCCUGGGCUUAACCUGGGAAUGGCGAUUGAAACGGUAGCGCUAGAGUGGGUCAGAGGAUCGUGGAAUUCCGGGUGUAGCGGUGAAAUGCGUAGAUAUCCGGAGGAACACCGAUGGCGAAGGCAGCGGUCUGGAGCCACACUGACGCUGAGGCACGAAAGCGUGGGGAGCAAACAGG